UAAUUUCCAAAAAUGUGCAAGAAAUUACUAUAAUUUGUUUACAAACCAAAACACAUAUUAAAAUCUAUGGACUUUGGAUAGUUCGUUCUGUGGUGUUCUCAGUACAAAUGGUACACACCUGAUUUGAAACAUACAGAAAAAGUGUAAACUACAGCAAUCUGGAUUGCAAGUAUUAAUUUCAUGGCACUCCAACAACUAUGAAAUUUCUUUAACCCAACAUAUAUACUAUUA
Molecule: long non-coding RNA, 231 nt
Filed under: Marmota monax (woodchuck)
Lineage: Eukaryota; Metazoa; Chordata; Mammalia; Rodentia; Sciuridae
Source: RNAcentral